Molecule: non-coding RNA, 90 nt
Filed under: Alexandrium minutum
Lineage: Eukaryota; Dinophyceae; Gonyaulacales; Pyrocystaceae
Source: RNAcentral
UACUUUUUUUUUUUUUUUUUUUUUUUUUUUUUUUUUUUUUUUUUUUUUUUUUUUUUGCUGUUUGUUCUUCUGAAGAAACGGUCACGAGAG